This 468-nucleotide ribosomal RNA is filed under the name uncultured bacterium. Its description in RNAcentral is "partial 16S ribosomal RNA". It matches the Rfam family "Bacterial small subunit ribosomal RNA", at positions 28 to 507 of the family's 1533-position model. The record is from RNAcentral.
GACGAACGCUGGCGGCGUGCUUAACACAUGCAAGUCGAACGGAAAGGCCCUGCUUUUGUGGGGUGCUCGAGUGGCGAACGGGCGAGUAACACGUGAGUAACCUGCCCUUGACUUUGGGAUAACUUCAGGAAACUGGGGCUAAUACCGGAUAGGAGCUCCUGCUGCAUGGUGGGGGUUGGAACGUUUCGGCGGUUGGGGCUGGACUCGCGGCUUAUCAGCUAGUUGGUGGGGGAGUGGCUUACCAAGGCUUUGACGGGUAGCCGGCCUGGGAGGGUGACCGGCCACAUUGGGACUGAGAUACGGCCCAGACUCCUACGGUAGGCAGCAGUGGGGAAUAUGGCACAAUGGGCGGAAGCCUGAUGCAGCAACGCCGCGUGCGGGAUGACGGCCUUCGGGUUGUAAACCGCUUUCGCCUGUGACGAAGCGUGAGUGGCGGUAAUGGGUAAAGAAGCACCGGCUAACUACGUG